AGUGAAGACCAGUUCAGCAUUAACAGAAAAUUUGCUGUCUAACAAGUUGCGCUUCGAUGCUAGAAUCUUAUCAAGAAAUGGACGUGAUGCUUGCAGAGAGCUGAUCGGAUUCUUCUUUGGCUUUGAUAAUUCUCUGACAGUUUAUGAAUAUCGUCAUUUUGGCAAAAAUAGAUCAAAUGCACUUCCAUUUAUUCAGAAGGGUCAUCAGCAUGGAAGAAGAAAAGGAAUGCAGUACCGAAUUUGAGAUUUCUAUGUUGUAAGUACGGCAUUAUUAACUAGGUGGUAAACAUACCAAGAACACGUUUUCUUGUGGAAAGCUUUGAUAUUUUACGAUAUUAGCAGUGUAUUGUUCUACAAUAUGUUCUGCAAUAGUGUGUUACAAUUCCUGUUCAUUCAUGUUAUAAUUUAUGACAUUGUGUUCACAUGUUCACACUGUUUAUCUAAAUGUAAACAAGGGGCUAACAUAACUUUCGCCACAUCUGGACAAAAUCUACCUGAAAGUAUUAGACAGAAGCCAUCCUUCACUAUUCGGCUUACUAAUGUGGGUGAAGUUCCCAAAAGUAUGCUACUGUAAGUUGAAUAUUUGCUUCCUCUUUUUUUAUCUUCUUUGUCAUUAACAUAUUUAGUGUGCAGUAUUACUUUAUCUAUGUAAACUUGGACAAUACACACGGUCUUGCUUAAUGAGUAAGU
Long non-coding RNA from Polyodon spathula (Mississippi paddlefish), 690 nucleotides. RefSeq lists it as uncharacterized. The record is from RefSeq and is a predicted model, not a curated record. Lineage: Eukaryota; Metazoa; Chordata; Actinopteri; Acipenseriformes; Polyodontidae. The transcript has 3 exons.